GGGGCCCUUUGUGAAGCACGACGGCAGCUGAGCACUUUGCUUGCCGCAAUCUUGCAGCCCAAGCAGGAAAGGUGUGAUCAAAAGUACAGAGCAGGAGUCAGAAUUGGUGUUCUUCUCCAUGCAGAACAAUAGGGAAAAUGGUUUCCAAAACCAGGCAGCCAGCUUCUCUUCUGACAGUGGAAACAGGAGAUCGUUUAGCCUUCAGCCUGCUGUGCCUGAUGUGUGCCCAGUGUGCGCCACACCUGCAUCGCUGCACCCUAAGGGGUCACUGGAAUGAAGUGGUCAGGAAGAGUUAACCAGAUGAAAGAAGGGUGUAAUAUAUUUCAACAACUAAAAUAGCAGUUGAAAUGGGAUGCUAAAAGUCUGUCUGAUGGCUAACAGAAGGCAAGAGAUAAAGGAAGAGGUUCAGUGCCUUUUCUGCAAAGAGAAGAGGAUCAGAUGAAGCAAGAAGCUGGAAAAUUAAAAACAGGAGUGUGGACAUAUUUAUUUUCAUGAUGGUCUGAACUAGUAUGGCUGUCUUAUAUUAAAACCUAUUUCAGCAUAAAACACCCAAGCCCAGUUUCAACUUUUAAAGCAUAUCAGGAGGAAAUAUUUUCCAAUAGGGUAAAGAUCCUGUAAAUCAAACAGAAGGACAACCAUGUCCUGGCUGCAUCCAUGGCAGUGCAGCCAGGAGGGUGAGGGAGGGAUUCUGCCCCUCUGCUCUGGUAUGACCCCGUCAGGGUUCUGUGUCCAGCUCUGGGGUCCCCAGCACAGGAAGGACAUGGACCUGUUGGAGUCCCAGGGAAGGACAUGAAAAUGGUCAGAGGGCUGGAGCACCUCUGCUGUGAGGAAAGGCUGAGAGUUGGUGUUGUUCAGCUUGGAGAAGAGAAGAAACAACAACAAAAUCCCACAACAAAAGAGGUCUAGUUUACAAUAUUUGAGUAAAUUUCAAAUCUUCCACAAGAUAUUUCCUCCACAAAGGAAUUCCGAAUGCAGAAACUACAUGUAAAACUGUUUUGUUUUGGGAAAAGGAUUGAGAAAGUCAUUGCUUCCUUUCAUUAAACUGACAUACCACAUGGAAGAAAUAUUAAGAUUAACUUAAAAUCAUAUGUUAUUCCUUAUUCUCCUUUGACGAUUUUGUGUCAUUCACGUUUUUCUUUGAGGGAAUUUUACUUAUCUGAGUUUUUUGGAUGCAUAAACAUCAAGUCUGAUAUUACUGCACUUUUAGCCCAAAAGACCUCUAUUUUGUUUUAGGAAAAUAACAAACUAAGAACUGCCAGCGCUGACUCUACUUAAAGUUCCCCUGAUCCUUACAAGAUCAGGAUCAAUGGAUUUCGUCAAUAGUUAAUGACAGCUGACUACCAUUAGGUUUGGAUAUAGAAAUUAAAGCUUCCACUAGAGCAAGAAGCAGCUAUUUCACUUGGUUAAGAUGUAAUAUGUGAUAGAACUGCACAAAAAAAUACUGUUUAACUCCAGUUAAAUAUUUAGACAUUCCUCUUGUUACUUCCAUUUUACCUCAUAAAUACAUUGCUGACAGCAAAACCCACUUCUCCUCGAAGUCAAGUGGAGGAGUGACUAAAAUCUUUGGAUUUUAGGGAAAAGGCAGGACCUAGUGUUACAGUUAGUGAGUUAAGAAGAGGCAGUAAGGAGAAAACUGGUGGGUCUGUCUCCCUGGGGCUGUUUUUUACUAUGAACUUCUGCAGCCCACAUGAAUAGAAGUCACAUGGAGAAAUUCAUAUCUCUGUGGGGAGCCUCAGUCCAACUCUCCAACAUGAGCCCUGACCACACUCUUCCAGCACAUUUUCAUAUUAUGUUUUGUUUAGAAUAAAUAAGCAAAUUUUUGAUUGAUAUAUGUGUCAUUUAAGUGUUUCCAAACCCUUUGAUACACAGCAAAAAAAAAAAAAAAAAAUUAGAACUACUGCUUGCAUUUUGACAGGUUUCUGAUUUUUCUGGCAGGCUGUGCUUCUCCCGUAAAAGAAGAGGUGUUUUAGAAGGACAUCUCUUUAUUUGUGACUCAUUCUGCAUAGUAGUAUCUUCAUUGACUUGAGGCUGAUAAAAUAUUCUGUUUCCCUUUCAUGACUCCAGGGCUUUUUUCCUUUUCAGAACUGGUUUGGGUUUGGGUUUUUUUUCUAUAAUACCAUGAACCUGUGUUUUGUUGUUCGGAUGGGUUUUUUUUACCUUGAUGUGGGAACUGCUGUCUGUUCAACCACUCUGCCUCUUUUUACUCCUGCAUUUUUGGAUUGGAACCUUCAGUGCAAUGCCAUGGAGGGAUGUCUGCUGUAGAACCUUACCUUGCCUUUUGUCUUUUCCUUAUUUGCCUUGAGAGCAUCAGAACUACCUGCAUUUCCUAGGUAUGAGAUGUUGAUGCAGACUAAUCAGAGCAAAUCUACAAAUUAUAUUCUGGAGACUUCUCUGGACUUAUUAUCAAUUGAUUCUGAUACCUGCUUUUUGUACUCAAACAAAUCACUAUCCUAAUCCACUUAUUUUGCACAAAAUGCAUCACGAAAUGGCCUUACUGAUGAUUUUUAGUAGCCAUUUAAAUUCCUCUGAAACUAUUUUAUCACUUCAGUCUGAAAUUACCGUUUUCAAAUAAUUUAUCCUGUGAAAGUAAUGAUAUAUUUACCAUAACUGGCUUGCUAAAUAAGUGUUGAGUCCUCUAUGAUUAAUGUGCUUAUUCUUGUCAGCAGAAUGAAGCUGUAGCCUAUGCAAACAUGUCAGACAUACCAUGGAGCAAUUUCUAGAGCCUUCUGGAAAUCCUUUUGGUGCAGUUCUGACCUGCUCAGAGAACUACAUCUAGGUUUAUCCUUUUUCCCAUGCAAGUGAUGAUAUUUGCAGUUCUAAGUUAGUGAAUGUUGUGAUUAGGGAAUGUUCUCCAGGUUAUUUUUCCUGCUAAAAACACACUGCCACUUGCAACUCCCCUCCAAUGAGAAGAACAAACAGCAGAGAUCAGGGGUAAAAAAGAACAAUUUACUGGAAAAAGCAACGACAGAAGAAAACAAGCAAUAACAGCAACAAUAUUAAUAACAAAAGUAUACAAUAGAGAGAGUGAUUCCCAUGCAAAAAUGCUCCCCGUGAGCCCUGAGACAAUGAACAAAUGGUGAACAGUUUCCAACCUUUUUCUCUAUUGAAAGCCACACCUUUCUUCUCAGAAGCCAGACAGUCCCUUAGCUCCUGCCCUGGAAAUGAUGUGUGUUAUGGAAUAAUCUCCUGGCCAUGUACACACAAGUCUGGGCUGCACCAGAUUACUGCAAAAUAAACACCUGGAAGGAACCAGGACAGAGUAUUGGCUUUGUGAGGCAAUAGUUUGGUAACGGGGUCUCUUUGGCAAUGGAGGGGACUACAAGAGUGGCUUCUGUGGGAGGUGUUGGAAGCUUCCCCCAUGUAUGACAAAGCCAAUGCCAGCCAGCCAAGACAGAGCUGCUGCUGGCUGAGCCCAUGGGUGCUGGUGGUAGCACCUCUGGGGUUACAUAUUUAAUGAGGGGAAAAAAGUGCUUCAGCAUUAACUGAAAGAGAGGACUGAGAAUAUGUGAGAGAAACCUGCAAACAAUGAUUCAGGGAAGAAGAAGGUGGAGAAGGGACCCCAGGCACCAGAGCAGAGAUUUCCUGCAGCCUGUGGUGCAGAGCAUGGUGAGGCAGCUGUGCCCCUGCAGCCCCUGAAGGUGCACACGAGCAGAGAUCCACCUGUGCUCCAUGGAGGACCCCAUGCUGGAGCAGGUGGGGGCCUGAAGGAGACUGUGACCCUGUGAGAAGCUCAUGCUGGAGCAGGCUCCUGGAAGGACCUGUGGCCCCAUGGAGAGAGAAGCCCACGCUGGAGCGGAUUUGCUGGCAGGACUUGUGACCCUGUGGGUGACACCUGCUGGAGCAGCCUGUGCCUGAAGGACUGCACCCCACAGAAGGGACUCUGCUGGAGCAGUUUGUGAAGCACUCUGGUGUGUGAGAAGGAUUCAUGUUGGAGAAGCUUGUGAUGGACCAUUCCUCUUGGAGGAACUUCAUGCUGGAGCAGGGAAAAGAUUGAGGAGUCCUGUGCCAGGUUCAAUGGUCUCCUCAGGUUCCUUGUCUCUGCUACCAAGACUGGCCUUGGGUGUACACCAUGGUUUUGGGACAAGGACUUUUGGAGGAGUACAUUUGCUGAAAGGGACCAGCACACACACUGCUUGCUCUUCACAAUGUCAGCCUGACUUCACCACAAGCACAUCAUAAUUUGGACCAAAAUUAUGUGGAAAUGUGACAAGGGAAAAAAGCCCAAGUAUCAUCCUGUUCUUUUUAAAGUUUUAAAGUUCUUUUAAAAGUUUUCUAUGCUUUCUGAUUUUUACAUCUUUCUACUGGAGUUUCUAAUGCAUGUUCAUGUAAAUAAUGAUUGUUUUGCAUUCUUCUUUGUGGGAGGAGAGAAUUGAUGGACUGUUGGUUUGACCAAUGUGGUUGGAGAGGUGGCAAUUUCAUCUUCCAAUCCACUGUCACUUUUGGAAUUCUAUAUAUUGUGAGGUCAGAAAUAAAAGUUUCUUCCUUUUGCUCUUUUGAUCUUAGUGUAAGUGCGAGAGUUAUUUCAUGUUGUAGUGCAACACCCAAGCAUUUUGCUUAUUUCAUUACUACACACUCCCAGCAAAGGCGAAGAGUCACAGAAAUUCAGAUGUAUGAAGGUUGCUGGCUCUGCUCCAGCUUUGAGCGUCUUUCAAACAGCAGCAUGCCACAGCAGCACUGUGCCCAGUUACACUUCCACACAGAGUUCAUCUUUAUUUUGAAUCCUUUUGGUAGCUCCCAUAGAUUUUAGCUACUGUUUGUCUGGUGUUCAAACAAUGAUUAAAAAAGAAUACCUCCAGUUCUUGCUAUAACUUCAAUCAUAAAAAGUCUUCAUGUAAAGAAAAAUGGCUGUUUCUUUUGUCUCAGAAAACUGAA
Long non-coding RNA from Taeniopygia guttata (zebra finch), 4872 nucleotides. The record is from Ensembl. Lineage: Eukaryota; Metazoa; Chordata; Aves; Passeriformes; Estrildidae.